AACGAACGCUGGCGGCGUGCCUAACACAUGCAAGUCGUACGAGAAACACAUCCUUCGGGGUGUGGAGUAAAGUGGCGCACGGGUGAGUAACACGUGGGUAACCUGCCCUCGGGAUCGGGAUAACUGGCCGAAAGGCCCGCUAAUACCGGAUAAGACCACAAGAACCACGGCUCUUGAGGUAAAAGUCGGCCUCUCAUAGAAGCCGGCGCCUGAAGAUGGGCCCGCGGACCAUUAGCUAGUUGGUAAGGUAACGGCUUACCAAGGCCGAGAUGGGUAGCGGGUCUGAGGGGAUGAUCAGCCACACUGGAACCGAGAUACGGGCCAGACUCCUACGGGAGGCAGCAGUGAGGAAUAUUGCGCAAUGGAGGAAACUCUGACGCAGCAACGCCGCGUGAGUGAAGAAGGCUUUCGGGUUGUAAGGCUCUGUCAGGUGGGAAGAAACCUCUAUAGUUAAAUAGACUAUAGAACUGACGGUACCACCAAAGGAAGCACCGGCUAACUCCGUGCCAGCAGCCGCAGUAA
Molecule: ribosomal RNA, 522 nt
Filed under: uncultured bacterium
Lineage: Bacteria
Description: partial 16S ribosomal RNA
Rfam family: Bacterial small subunit ribosomal RNA
Source: RNAcentral